UCGCUGAGGUAAAGCGGAAGCUGCCGCUUU
RNAcentral lists this small RNA (30 nucleotides) under Bombyx mori (domestic silkworm). Its description in RNAcentral is "ovarian small RNA-28846". The record is from RNAcentral. Lineage: Eukaryota; Metazoa; Arthropoda; Insecta; Lepidoptera; Bombycidae.